CUACCACGCGAGUGGAUGCCAAUCCCCAAAACCUCUCUCAGUUCGGACUGGAGUCUGCAACCCGACUCCACGAAGCUGGAUUCGCUAGUAAUCGCGCAUCAGCCACGGCGCGGUGAAUACGUUCCCGGGCCUUGUACACACCGCCCGUCAAGCCAUGGGAGCCGGGGGUACCUGAAGUGCGUAACCGCGAGGAGCGCCCUAGGGUAAAACUGGUGACUGGGGCUAAGUCGUAACAAGGUAAC
This 242-nucleotide ribosomal RNA is filed under the name uncultured bacterium. RNAcentral describes it as "partial 16S ribosomal RNA". It matches the Rfam family "Bacterial small subunit ribosomal RNA", at positions 1250 to 1500 of the family's 1533-position model. The record is from RNAcentral.